AUAUGGUACUGCAAGAAAACCUCCUAGGAACUGCUAGCAGUUUUAAGUCAAAGAUGUAACUUUUGAAACGUGUUGAUUUCAACAGUAAGGCACAGCUUUAACUUUGAAGAUGAACAUUCUUUGUUUCUCGUUUGCAUUAUAAGGUUCACUGCCACAUGGUUGUUAGUUAGCAAGUGUUUGCAGGCAAAUCAGCGCAAAGCAGCAACAAGGAGGUUUUUUUUCAAUCAAAACCCUCUUAACAAUUUAUUUCACCUAACAAUUGCUAGCAACCACAAAGUCAUUGGGGUAGUACAACCAAGUCUGAAAAGUUGAAUGUGGCUUGUAGUGUAAAGUGCUUUGAGUGGUUAGUGAAACUUAAAAAGCACUAUUUAAAUGCCAACCUUCUCCACAUGAUAGCUAGUUUAGUUUUGCACAGAAUUUGAGGUCUGCUGUCUCGAGGCCGUCAAAAUUUGAUUUCUGGGGACAGAAUGUAGCAGGAGUGCUGGAACCCAUCUGAUUGCACACAAGGACAUGGCCUUAGAAGGAUUAAAUUAGAAACCGAUUAAUUAAAAAACAAAUUAAAAUGCACCUGCUGGAUUUGUACCACUGAUUACAUCUUUAUCUGACUUAACAUUAAAAAACAAGUAACAAAACUUUUAUUUGACAUGUUUCUAGACUUGGCAAUCAGACACACAUAUACACACAUGUAACAGGACAGAAGAGAAGAGUAACUUUGUCAUUGAUUUUUCCAUUCAUGGUGACAUCAAGCAAUACAGAUCAUACUCAGCAGGUCACCCAACAACACAGUAUGAGCGUGUUUGCACGUGUACUGGAUGUCCUAGUGUAUUUUGCAUCACCCCAGAUGCCAUAAUUUAACAUAUAGAUGUAUAGGUGACAGUUUGUGAAAUCAUUCUUUCCCCUAAACAUGUUUAGUUCACUUUAGUUUAGUACCGUUAUCUCACAAAUACAACACUGUUUGUCCACCUCCAUACGUGUCCAGUUCCUUUUGAGAGUCCUCAGGUUGCUGCAUCAUUGACUAUGAUUGUAAAAACCUUUUUCUUCAUGCCUCAGCA
Molecule: long non-coding RNA, 1052 nt
Organism: Astatotilapia calliptera (eastern happy)
Lineage: Eukaryota; Metazoa; Chordata; Actinopteri; Cichliformes; Cichlidae
Source: Ensembl